CCUACGGGUGGCUGCAGUGGGGAAUAUUGCACAAUGGGGGAAACCCUGAUGCAGCGACGCCGCGUGAGUGAAGAAGUAAUUCGUUAUGUAAAGCCCUAUCAGCAGGGAAGAAACUGACGGUACCUGAGUAACAAGCCCCGGGUAACUACGUGCCAGCAUCCGCGGUAAUCCGUAGGGGGCAAGCGUUAUCCGGAUUUACUGGGUGUAAAGGGAGCGUAGACGGCAGUGCAAGUCUGGUGGGAAAGGCGGGGGCUCAACCCCCGGACUGCUCUGGAAACUGGACGGCUGGAGUGCAAGAGAGGUAAGUGGAAUGCGUAGUGUAGCGGUGAAAUGCGUAGAUAUUAGGAGGAACACCAGUGGCGAAGGCGGCUUACUGGACUGUAACUGACGUUGAGGCACGAAAGCGUGGGGAGCGAACAGGAUUAGAUACCCGGGUAGUC
This 440-nucleotide ribosomal RNA is filed under the name uncultured bacterium. Its description in RNAcentral is "partial 16S ribosomal RNA". It matches the Rfam family "Bacterial small subunit ribosomal RNA", at positions 338 to 795 of the family's 1533-position model. The record is from RNAcentral.